GACUGAGGGAGUAGCUCCCAGAAAGUCACUGAGCUCUUCUGUUUCUUGGUAUCUGUGUUUCUGGAGGUGUGGAUGUGUUUAUCACACACACAGGCAAGACUUCCUCAGCAUCAAAGCAUACCAAAUCUACACCCAGUAAAAGGUUUGGAUGAAGACAGACAAAAAUGUGAAUGGACUACAAUGGAAGAUGCACAGACAUAACGUUAAUCAGGUACAGUAAGCUUGAGGUGAGUCAAUCGUGGGCAGUGGUGUCCAAAAAUGCCAUGCCUUCGCAGGCAGCAUAAAUGAAUGACAGAAUCUCCAGUUAGGGAGGGAAUGGCCACAUGGCACUCCAGAGCUCAG
Molecule: long non-coding RNA, 342 nt
Organism: Symphalangus syndactylus (siamang)
Lineage: Eukaryota; Metazoa; Chordata; Mammalia; Primates; Hylobatidae
Source: RefSeq, a predicted model, not a curated record